UACGGGGGGGCAAGCGUUGUUCGGAAUUACUGGGCGUAAAGGGCUCGUAGGUGGCCAACUAAGUCAGACGUGAAAUCCCUCGGCUUAACCGGGGAACUGCGUCUGAUACUGGAUGGCUUGAGUUCGGGAGAGGGAUGCGGAAUUCCAGGUGUAGCGGUGAAAUGCGUAGAUAUCGGAAGGAACACCAGUGGCGAAAGCGGCUUCCUGGUCCAGCACCGACGUUCAGGCACGAAAGCGUGGGGAGCGAACAGG
Molecule: ribosomal RNA, 252 nt
Filed under: uncultured bacterium
Lineage: Bacteria
Description: partial 16S ribosomal RNA
Rfam family: Bacterial small subunit ribosomal RNA
Source: RNAcentral